UAGCUCAGUUGGUAGAGUGCUUGCCUCCCAUGCACAAAGCCCUGGGUUCAAUCCCCAG
RNAcentral lists this transfer RNA (58 nucleotides) under Urocitellus parryii (Arctic ground squirrel). Its description in RNAcentral is "Spermophilus parryii (Arctic ground squirrel) tRNA". It matches the Rfam family "tRNA", at positions 8 to 63 of the family's 71-position model. Rfam says of the family: Transfer RNA (tRNA) molecules are approximately 80 nucleotides in length. Their secondary structure includes four short double-helical elements and three loops (D, anti-codon, and T loops). Lineage: Eukaryota; Metazoa; Chordata; Mammalia; Rodentia; Sciuridae. RNAcentral also lists the same sequence under 2 other names. The record is from Rfam by way of RNAcentral.